GGAGUUGGUGAGGUGAGGUUGGCUCGUGGUUUGUCCUAGUCCUCUGAUCUCUCUAAGGCUUUCACCCCUAUGUAUCACUCGUGUUUUUUAUUUAAUGAGACCAUUUAGAAAUUCGUCUACACAUAACAAUACUGUGUUUCAAAUAACGGGGCAUGACCCUUCCACCCUAAGAAUGCCUGGGGACUUGGAGAGGAUGAGUUUGGCUCUGGAAAAGAAGACAAGCAGGAUCCAGAGCUAAUAAAGAAGAGAUAUGGAAUCAUUUGGUAGCAGUUUUGCCAACUCAAGGAAAAAGAAAGUCUUUUGGGAUGUGGUAAGUGUCAGACACCAGAGCUUCCUGGGAGAAAGUCUUACACGUUCACUUUCAAAGGUAAAGAUUCCUGCAGCUGUCCCUCAGGUAAGAUUGGGAAAGAGGACAAAGAUUGGGGUGAGAAAAACAAAAUACAACAGCAGUGUGUACUGGACAGUGCUUCCUGGGGCAACUUCUCUACCAACUUGUCUUCAUUUUGUCCUAAUAAUACAAAUUCCAAUCUGCAAUAAUACCUAAGGGUAAGUGGAAUAACACAGUUUUAUAAUGCGUUAUAUCAGACAACAUAGUACCACACUAAUCAAAAUGUCUUUUUAACAGAUUUGCUGUCCAUAUGUGAUGCUCCUAGAGUUCCUUUGUGAAGACUGGCAUACAGAACACAAAAACACUUUCCCUCCCACUGAGAAUCUAUCUUAUUUUGUCUUCAACUUUCUCAUCCCGUUAUCAGAAAUAGAAACAGAACACUCAGGAGAAGAAACCGCUUCUUAGAACUCCGGGAUUUAAGAAAAACAAAUUGGACCGGAGCUUUUGACAAGACAGCUCCUCAUAUACUAUAUAUAGCAACCAGAAUCAAACGGAAAACUUAUCUUUAUAAACAAGAGAAAAUGCGUCCCCCAACAACUCCAAGUGACAAGAUCUGGUUUGGUUAUUACAAGAGUGCACCGUCAUAUGAAUAAGCGGGCUAGAAGCAUGUCGUGUGACACAGGCCAUCAGGACACAGACACCUUCAGCUGACACUGACAUGCUGUACAGUCUAGCUGUGGAAAACAGCCUUCAUCACAAAGGAUUGGUCUGGUUCAAGGUCCCUGGUCUCUGCUACACCACUGAUGACGCUGGGCCCUCACUGGGACUCUACCCGGACAUCUUUUGCUGCCCUGUGUCAUGGAGAUCCUGCAGCCCUGGGUCCAGAGGACUGGCCCCACCCCCGUGCUCCAGCAGAUGGCAGAUGGGGACAAGGUCACAGAGAGCCCAGACUGCUCAUCAGUUCACUACAGUGGAGUCGUCUGGCACGGCAGCCACUAGCCAUAUGUAGUUACUGAGCAUCUGAGAUGUGCCUAGUAUAAUGGAGACUUGGACUUCCUGCUUCAUUUUAGAG
This is a non-coding RNA of Peromyscus maniculatus bairdii (prairie deer mouse), 1400 nucleotides long. NCBI's taxonomy places the organism in Eukaryota, Metazoa, Chordata, Mammalia, Rodentia, Cricetidae. The record is from RefSeq and is a predicted model, not a curated record.